RNAcentral lists this ribosomal RNA (506 nucleotides) under uncultured bacterium. RNAcentral describes it as "partial 16S ribosomal RNA". It matches the Rfam family "Bacterial small subunit ribosomal RNA", at positions 30 to 507 of the family's 1533-position model. The record is from RNAcentral.
CGACCGCUGGCGGCGUGCCUACUACAUGCACGUCGCACGCUUCUUUCCUCCCGAGUGCUUGCACUCAAUUGGAAAGAGGAGUGGCGGACGGGUGAGUAACACGUGGGUAACCUACCCAUCAGAGGGGGAUAACACUUGGAAACAGGUGCUAAUACCGCAUAACAGUUUAUGCCGCAUGGCAUAAGAGUGAAAGGCGCUUUCGGGUGUCGUUGAUGGAUGGACCCGCGGUGCAUUAGCUAGUUGGUGAGGUAACGGCUCACCAAGGCCACGAUGCAUAGCCGACCUGAGAGGGUGAUCGGCCACACUGGGACUGAGACACGGCCCAGACUCCUACGGGAGGCAGCAGUAGGGAAUCUUCGGCAAUGGACGAAAGUCUGACCGAGCAACGCCGCGUGAGUGAAGAAGGUUUUCGGAUCGUAAAACUCUGUUGUUAGAGAAGAACAAGGACGUUAGUAACUGAACGUCCCCUGACGGUAUCUAACCAGAAAGCCACGGCUAACUACGUG